AAGUCGUAACAAGGUUUUCCGUAGGUUGAAUCCUUGCGGAAGGAUCAUUACCGAGUUCUCCUCGCUCUGCAGGAACUCCCACCCUUGAUUACUAUAGGCGUUGCUUCGGCGAGACGCUGGAACAGCCAUUGACCUCUCACGUCGAUGCGUGCUCGCCGGAGUUUCAUACUCUACAUUAUGUGUCGGUCAGAGAAUCAAAAAUCUAAAAAA
RNAcentral lists this unclassified non-coding RNA (210 nucleotides) under plant metagenome. Its description in RNAcentral is "partial contains small subunit ribosomal RNA and internal transcribed spacer 1". The record is from RNAcentral.